GACGAACGCUGGCGGCGUGCCUAAUACAUGCAAGUCGAACGCAUUUUCUUUCACCGUAGCUUGCUACACCGAAAGAAAAUGAGUGGCGAACGGGUGAGUAACACGUGGGUAACCUGCCCAUCAGCGGGGGAUAACACUUGGAAACAGGUGCUAAUACCGCAUAAUUCCAUUUACCGCAUGGUAGAUGGAUGAAAGGCGCUUUUGCGUCACUGAUGGAUGGACCCGCGGUGCAUUAGCUAGUUGGUGGGGUAACGGCCUACCAAGGCUGCGAUGCAUAGCCGACCUGAGAGGGUGAUCGGCCACACUGGGACUGAGACACGGCCCAGACUCCUACGGGAGGCAGCAGUAGGGAAUCUUCGGCAAUGGACGCAAGUCUGACCGAGCAACGCCGCGUGAGUGAAGAAGGUUUUCGGAUCGUAAAACUCGGUUGUUAGAGAAGAACAAGGAUGAGAGUGGAAAGUUCAUCCCUUGACGGUAUCUAACCAGAAAGCCACGGCUAACUACGUG
Molecule: ribosomal RNA, 507 nt
Filed under: uncultured bacterium
Lineage: Bacteria
Description: partial 16S ribosomal RNA
Rfam family: Bacterial small subunit ribosomal RNA
Source: RNAcentral